This 538-nucleotide ribosomal RNA is filed under the name Salmonella enterica. Its description in RNAcentral is "partial 23S ribosomal RNA". It matches the Rfam family "Bacterial large subunit ribosomal RNA", at positions 628 to 1165 of the family's 2925-position model. Lineage: Bacteria; Pseudomonadati; Pseudomonadota; Gammaproteobacteria; Enterobacterales; Enterobacteriaceae. The record is from RNAcentral.
CUUAUAUUCUGUAGCAAGGUUAACCGAAUAGGGGAGCCGGAGGGAAACCGAGUCUUAAUUGGGCGUUAAGUUGCAGGGUAUAGACCCGAAACCCGGUGAUCUAGCCAUGGGCAGGUUGAAGGUUGGGUAACACUAACUGGAGGACCGAACCGACUAAUGUUGAAAAAUUAGCGGAUGACCUGUGGCUGGGGGUGAAAGGCCAAUCAAACCGGGAGAUAGCUGGUUCUCCCCGAAAGCUAUUUAGGUAGCGCCUCGUGAAUUCAUCUCCGGGGGUAGAGCACUGUUUCGGCUAGGGGGCCAUCCCGGCUUACCAACCCGAUGCAAACUGCGAAUACCGGAGAAUGUUAUCACGGGAGACACACGGCGGGUGCUAACGUCCGUCGUGAAGAGGGAAACAACCCAGACCGCCAGCUAAGGUCCCAAAGUCAUGGUUAAGUGGGAAACGAUGUGGGAAGGCCCAGACAGCCAGGAUGUUGGCUUAGAAGCAGCCAUCAUUUAAAGAAAGCGUAAUAGCUCACUGGUCGAGUCGGCCUGCGCG